Molecule: ribosomal RNA, 253 nt
Filed under: uncultured bacterium
Lineage: Bacteria
Description: partial 16S ribosomal RNA
Rfam family: Bacterial small subunit ribosomal RNA
Source: RNAcentral
UACGUAGGGGGCAAGCGUUAUCCGGAUUCACUGGGCGUAAAGGGAGCGCAGGCGGCAUGGCAAGUCUGUUGUGAAAACCCGGGGCCCAACCCCGGGAGUGCAUUGGAAACUGCCAGGCUGGAGUGUCGGAGGGGUAAGCGGAAUUCCUAGUGUAGCGGUGAAAUGCGUAGAUAUUAGGAGGAACACCAGUGGCGAAGGCGGCUUACUGGACGACUACUGACGCUGAGGCUCGAAAGCGUGGGGAGCAAACAGG